UAUGGAGAGUUUGAUCCUGGCUCAGAGUGAACGCUGGCGGCGUGCCUAAUACAUGCAAGUCGAACGAUGAAGCUUCUAGCUUGCUAGAAUGCUGAUUAGUGGCGCACGGGUGAGUAACGCAUAGGUUAUGUGCCUCUUAGUUUGGGAUAGCCAUUGGAAACGAUGAUUAAUACCAGAUACUCCCUACGGGGGAAAGAUUUAUCGCUAAGAGAUCAGCCUAUGUCCUAUCAGCUUGUUGGUAAGGUAAUGGCUUACCAAGGCUAUGACGGGUAUCCGGCCUGAGAGGGUGAACGGACACACUGGAACUGAGACACGGUCCAGACUCCUACGGGAGGCAGCAGUAGGGAAUAUUGCUCAAUGGGGGAAACCCUGAAGCAGCAACGCCGCGUGGAGGAUGAAGGUUUUAGGGUUGUAAACUCCUUUUGUUAGAGAAGAUAAUGACGGUAUCUAACGAAUAAGCACCGGCUAACUCCGUGCCAGCAGCCGCGGUAAUACGGAGGGUGCAAGCGUUACUCGGAAUCACUGGGCGUAAAGAGCGCGUAGGCGGGAUAGUCAGUCAGGUGUGAAAUCCUAUGGCUUAACCAUAGAACUGCAUUUGAAACUACUAUUCUAGAGUGUGGGAGAGGUAGGUGGAAUUCUUGGUGUAGGGGUAAAAUCCGUAGAGAUCAAGAGGAAUACUCAUUGCGAAGGCGACCUGCUGGAACAUUACUGACGCUGAUUGCGCGAAAGCGUGGGGAGCAAACAGGAUUAGAUACCCUGGUAGUCCACGCCCUAAACGAUGGAUGCUAGUUGUUGGAGGGCUUAGUCUCUCCAGUAAUGCAGCUAACGCAUUAAGCAUCCCGCCUGGGGAGUACGGUCGCAAGAUUAAAACUCAAAGGAAUAGACGGGGACCCGCACAAGCGGUGGAGCAUGUGGUUUAAUUCGAAGAUACACGAAGAACCUUACCUAGGCUUGACAUUGAGAGAAUCCGCUAGAAAUAGUGGAGUGUCUAGCUUGCUAGACCUUGAAAACAGGUGCUGCACGGCUGUCGUCAGCUCGUGUCGUGAGAUGUUGGGUUAAGUCCCGCAACGAGCGCAACCCCCUUUCUUAGUUGCUAACAGGUUAUGCUGAGAACUCUAAGGAUACUGCCUCCGUAAGGAGGAGGAAGGUGGGGACGACGUCAAGUCAUCAUGGCCCUUACGCCUAGGGCUACACACGUGCUACAAUGGGGUGCACAAAGAGAAGCAAUACUGCGAAGUGGAGCCAAUCUUCAAAACACCUCUCAGUUCGGAUUGUAGGCUGCAACUCGCCUGCAUGAAGCUGGAAUCGCUAGUAAUCGCAAAUCAGCCAUGUUGCGGUGAAUACGUUCCCGGGUCUUGUACUCACCGCCCGUCACACCAUGGGAGUUGUGUUUGCCUUAAGUCAGGAUGCUAAAUUGGCUACUGCCCACGGCACACACAGCGACUGGGGUGAAGUCGUAACAAGGUAACCGUAGGUGAACCUGCGGUUGGAUCACCUCCUU
RNAcentral lists this ribosomal RNA (1501 nucleotides) under Helicobacter pylori. RNAcentral's name for it is "bacterial SSU rRNA". It matches the Rfam family "Bacterial small subunit ribosomal RNA". The record is from RNAcentral. Lineage: Bacteria; Pseudomonadati; Campylobacterota; Epsilonproteobacteria; Campylobacterales; Helicobacteraceae.